Molecule: ribosomal RNA, 255 nt
Filed under: uncultured bacterium
Lineage: Bacteria
Description: partial 16S ribosomal RNA
Rfam family: Bacterial small subunit ribosomal RNA
Source: RNAcentral
UACGGGGGGGGCAAGCGUUGUUCGGAAUUACUGGGCGUAAAGGGCUCGUAGGCGGCCAACUAAGUCAGACGUGAAAUCCCUCGGCUUAACCGGGGAACUGCGUCUGAUACUGGUUGGCUUGAAUCCGGGAGAGGGAUGUGGAAUUCCAGGUGUAGCGGUGAAAUGCGUAGAUAUCCGGAAGAACACCGGUGGCGAAGGCGGCCUGCUGGGCAGUUUAGCUGACACUGAGGCGCGACAGCGUGGGGAGCAAACAGG